Molecule: long non-coding RNA, 1803 nt
Organism: Piliocolobus tephrosceles (Ugandan red Colobus)
Lineage: Eukaryota; Metazoa; Chordata; Mammalia; Primates; Cercopithecidae
Source: Ensembl
AUGACGAAACAAAUAACGAUAAAAAAAAUAUUGAUAAAAAAAAAUAAUGAUAAACAAAAUAUUGAUAAAAAAAAUAAUGAUAAACAAAAUAUUGAUAAAAAAAAUAAUGAUAAACAAAAUAUUGAUAAUAACAAUAUUGAUAAUAAAUGCUUAAACUGUUCAUCAUCUGCAACCAUUUCUAUAUUUGAAAAAAUACAUGAAAUACAAAACGAAAUAGAAGAUAUGGAUAAGCAUAUUGUUAAUAUAUUAAAUAAAAUAGAACAUAAAAAUACUAUAAGAUUAUAUUAUAAAAAAUUUUAUGAAAAUCCAUGUAAAUUUAUUGAUCAUGUAAUGAAUAGUAAAUUUUCAGUAAAUUCAGAAAAUAUUAGUGACAAUAGUUAUAUAUAUGAUCAUGCAGUUAAUGUUAACGAUGAUCAAUAUUAUAAACUUCCAUGGGUUCAUAAAGGUAUUUCCACAUACUUGUCAUUACAAAAUCAGUCUUUUGACGAUGUUCUUAAAUCUUCUUUAAAUAUUAUAAAUUAUGGAAAUAAAGGGAAUAUAAAUAGUACUAUAAAUGAAAAUAUAAACCCAAACCUAAACCAAUAUUCAAACUUAAACCAAUAUUCAAACUUAAACCAAUAUUCAAACCCAAACCAAUAUUCAAACUUAAACCAAUAUUCAAACUUAAACCAAUAUUCAAACUUAAACCAAUAUUCAAACUUAAAUGCAAAUAUAAAAACAGACACAAACAAAAACACAAAUACAGACACAAUUAUAGAAACAAACAUAAACAAAAACAAAAACAAAAGCACAAACAAAAACAAAAACACAAACAAAAAUAAAAACACAAAUAUAAAUACAAAUACAAACACAAAUACAAAGACAAGUACAAACACAAAAACAAAUAUAAAUGCAAAUACAAAUGCAAAUACAAAUGCAAAUACAAAUGCAAAUACAAACAUGAAAAAAGUUAAAGACAAAAACAGAAAAAAGCAAAAAGUAAAAACUUUAAAUGAAAAACAUUUAGAAAAGAUAUAUAAUCCAUAUAAUUUAACUAAUCAACAAUUUAAUCAUAACUUGAUGAAUCAACAAGGUAUAAACAAUAGUCAUAAUUAUAAUUUUAACAAUUUUAAUAAUAAUAAUAGUGGUGGUAGUAAUAAUAAUAAUAAUGGUGGUGGUAGUAAUAAUAAUAAUAAUAAUGGUGGUGGUGGUGGUGGUGAUAGUAAUAAUGGUGGUGGUAAUAAUAAUAAUGGUGCAUAUUAUUAUCCUACAAAUCCAAAUAUGUAUUAUAAUAGUAUGCCUGUAAGGUUUAAUAAUUUUAUGCAAAGUUAUGUUGAUACUGGUAGUGCGUCAGUUAAUGUACCGACAAAUGUACUGACUAAUUUACCUUUUAAUGCAUCGUUUCCUUCCCCUAUCAAUGUACCUGUUAGUACAACUACUAACAAUAUAAGUUAUAAAAAUAAUGAUUUAUCAAAUAGUUAUAAUAUUAAUACUAACGGUUGCAUAACAAAUAACAAUUUGUCAACAAAUUUUAAUCCUGAAAAUAUAUAUAUUAAUAACUUGGAACCAUGUGAUCUCAAUUUAUACAAUAAUAAUCAACAAAUGGUACCAGUACCAUAUAAUCCACAAUAUAUGAUGAACAUGUUUCCUUUUAAUGAAAUGAACCCACAAAAUAAUUCGAAUCCAAUGACCAAUGAAAGUGCACCUAUGCCUAUACCUAUACAUAUGAAUGAAUAUUCCAAUGACAACAAUUUUAACUCUGUUAAUAAUUAUGUUUCACCAAAAAUGGAUGAUAGUAAAAUAAUUCAACAGGGAAAUGCAUAA